Long non-coding RNA from Homalodisca vitripennis (glassy-winged sharpshooter), 5947 nucleotides. RefSeq lists it as uncharacterized. NCBI's taxonomy places the organism in Eukaryota, Metazoa, Arthropoda, Insecta, Hemiptera, Cicadellidae. The transcript is spliced from 2 exons. The record is from RefSeq and is a predicted model, not a curated record.
GCUAGCCUACAACCUUAUGGUAGAACAUCCUCCGCGUUACAUUAUCACAGUCUGCUCUGCUUGCUAGACACAUCCGUUUUACAGGCUAGCCUACAACCUUAUGAUAGAACAUCCUCCGUGUUACAUUACCACAGUCUGCUCUGCUUGCUAGACACAUCCGUUUUACAGGCUAGCCUACAACCUUAUGAUAGAACAUCCUACGGUUACAUUACCACAGUCUGCUCUGCUGGCUAGACACUUCAAACAAAUAAAUACUGUAACUUGAGUAUGUUAAAUUUUAUUUGAAAGGAAACCUAACAUUUUAUCCUAAUGUUUAAAGAUCUUUGAAUGUUUUACAAUUAAGUUUGAUGAAACGUGAUGCUGAUGACAAUAUUUUGUGAUUAUCAAAGGGUGACAUUCACAGAAAAUAGAAAGAUACAGAGUUUAUAUAGUAAUGUAGAUAAAAACACCGAUGAGUUUAAUAACUUUUCAAAGGUAUCAGAGUGUAAAUAUUGAUUAUUUUUUAAUUUUGUACGUGUUUCAAAAUCAGAAUAAAGAUUAUAAUAUGGCCAGAACAAUGGAUCUGGGUCAAAAAGUUUCAUUUAAUUGAAAAGUAAUAAAUAGUGAAUCGUAAAAACAAAUACUAUUGUACUGGCAUGCUAGGCCUCCUCGGAGCAGGGAGAGUAACACGAGUUAGUUAUUGAUCAGAUAUUGAGAUAUCAGAUGAUUAUAUUGUUAUGCAGUCGGUUGGUAGCAAUUACAUAUGGAUGCAAUGCUAAUGGUACAACAAUCCGGUCAAAUAAUACACCUCUGCCAUACUGUUUGAUUUAAUCCAUAAUGUAUUGAAUGUAGCCAUGGGGGUAAUUUAACAAUAACAGUUAAACUCAAUACCUUCAAGAACCGACUCUGAUUAACCACUAAUAUAUAGCUAGGAGUACUCUGCAGUCAACGUGUUAAGAGUUUGUCUAACUGCAUAAUAAUUGGUGAGCCCUCAUCAAUGCAAUUGAAGGUCAUUGCUCAGGGAAAUUCUAAAUGUAGCCAUGCACUCUCUUGGUAAGUUUAUUAACUAGAUUGUAGAUACUGUACCAUGCCAUGUUGCAAUAUCAAGUUCAUUGAAUUAUAUAUUUUUAUUGUAUACUCAUUUUAAAAUUGUAAAUAGUAUUUCUUAAAAAAUAGAGAGGAACACUUUAUCAUUACCGUAUGGUUUAAAGGACAGUACUUCAAUAUUUCCCUUUUGGUAUUUUUGCACCAAUAACAAAAAUUAGUCAUAGGUUAGGUUUGUUAUUGGUUUACCGUUAUCGAUAAAACAGAAUUCCGAUGUUGCAGAAUUGAACACUCAAUAAGAACGUUAAAAGAAUAUUUUAUUGAAUUCACUAAUAAAGUGGUAACUCAUGUGCUAGUGAAAGGUUUGUGAUAUUUAAUCAGUUGUUUUUAAUUGUUAUUUUAUUAUUGUUCUUUAAUUCUUAACUAUUUAAUACAUACGUACAUACACAGCUAACUUUGGUGCUUUCUGCAAUUGCUAAAUCCAAAUAAUAGUAACUGAAAAAUUCAUUUGUUUUGCACUUAUUCUAAUGUGAACAUUUAUACUGACAAAAUAAACAACCGAUGAGAUUCAUAAAGCACAUUGCAGUUUAUCAUUUAUGUAAUAACACUAUGUAUGUAUCGAAUAUUGUUGUCAUACUGAUAUUAUUUUAUAUAGUCCUUGUAAGUUAGACUUUAGCUUACAGUUGAUAAGUUAGUUUUACAUAACUGAAUAUAUUAUAAAUUUUUAUUGUUGAUGCAUUUUUAGAAUUAAGUAUGUUUGUGUUAUAAGUUUUAAGAUGUGGGUGCAAUUAAUUUUUUAUAUUAAUGAUAAAGUUCACGUUAAUUAUGCAUUUAUAUGUCAUGUAAAUGCAAGAACGCUUUAAUAAUGUUGUUUUAUUUUAGUACAAGCUUUUGCAUAAUAUUUUUAAAUUUUAAAUCAAGCAUGCCUAGUUUUUAUUAAGUUUUAUUAUGUAUUAUAAGCUUUUGCUUAUGAUUUUUUUAAAUCUGAUAUGCCUAAAUAAUCAGUUGCAUUAUAAGUUAAGCGUUACUAUGGAAUGUGUUAAAACUGAAUUAAUUUUGUUGCUGCACAAGCUUUCUAUUGUUGAUAAACAAAGUAAUAUGUUGAAUACAAAUUGUUGUUGGCAUGUAAAUAAGUACAUGAUACCCAAGAAAUAAUUGAACUCCUUUAAUAAGCUGAUUAGUUAAACUAAGAAGACGUCAUUCACUUAAUAUGAUGUAGGUAUAUAAUAAUGCCUGUGUUGUGACGCGGCUAUUUUUUGCGCAAUGUAAAUAUGGAAAUUAAAUUUCUUGAGUAAAUUAUUUGCAAUAUAUUUAGAGAACUGCUGUGCAGUCUAGCUCUGGGGAUAUUUUGUGUUUGGCACACUAUCUCCGUAAAUUGUUUUAGGUUUAUAAGAUUAAAUCUUAAGAGUUCUCUGACACUCACUCAUGCUAGAGUCACAUUGUGAUAUGAAUACUCUUUAAGAGUGUUGCAAUGUUACGUAACACUAAAAUCCAUGUUAAUAAUUUGAAAUACACAGCAAUUAUCUGAAUAUUUUGUGGUUCCAUCGAGUUGUUUGUGUGCACAUUGUUCACUAUCUUAAUCUGUUGCUCAUGUAAUCUUAAAAUACUGGGCCGUUCAUAAUGAAUUAUUUGUAAAGUCUAGUUUAUUACUUUUUGUAUUUACUUAUUCAAAAUGUCACUUAAAUUUGCCACGUUACUCCAGUAAUUCAUGUUCAUAAAAAAAGUCCCUCCUGUAUAGAAACAAUUGUGAGAAUAUAAGUAGUUGAAUGUAAAGAACAAUAAACAUACAAUAAGCAAAUAAUACAUGCAAAACAACACUCUUACUUAAAAUGCAUGGUGCAAAGAACUUGAAAUGAAGAGAGAAUGUGCACUACUAUUAACUAAAUAUUUAUUUACCACUUGAUUAAUCUUAUAAUAUAAUCAGUAAUCAGAGAAUGUCUUGUAAAAUGCUUAUGGGGUUAUGCAGGAUAAAAUUGUAUUAAUUGUUAUUAUGUUCAUUAAUUUGAUGAUGUCAUUAUAUUCAGAUGUAUUUUUCAUUUCUCUGAGAUAACUCUAUAAUAAAUUUUCUAAAACUAAAAAAGUGUCUAUGGGUUUAAGUAUUAAACAAUUUCCAAAUUGUAAAACACAGUGUUUCAGAUUCAAAAGCGGCCUAUAUUGUCAAAGACUAGAAUUUGGAAUAGUCCCUUGAUAUAUAGUCCUAAAAUAGUCCCUAAAACUAAAUUUCAAAAAGUCCCUUACAACUCCAAAAUUUGCAUGAGGUGUAUGAAAGUCAGAAUAGUGCUUACUUUCCCAAGACGUGGUUUUCUUUCGGUUGAAUAUAAAGGUGUUAUAAAUAAUUUCAAAACUUUUACUAAAAAAACAACGUAAACAUGGAAUCCAAAAUCAUUGAACACUGGUACUGGAAGGGGGUAAAGUUUGGCCUAGCCGCAAAAAUUAGAUUUUCAUUCUGAAAAUAAUAAUCGAAAAAGCUCACCUGAGUUCCAUAAAUACCUAAAGCCUCGUAACAGCUGAACAUUUGAAAUUGUGGGACUCAAGAUGUUGGAAGGUCAAUGUAAGCACAUGAUUUAAAACAUUUAAUUUCUAUUUGAUUGACAUAUCUGUGUAAUAAAUAAUUUAAAAAAAUAUUUUCAGCAUACUUAAUUGUGACAAAAUUAAUUUUUAUUAUGAAAAGCAUGAUUAUGCAAACAAACAAAUCGUAAACAGAGUCUAUGAAGCUUAAAACAGGAUAAUAUUUUUAAAUGUCAACAUGAAUUUAGAGCCUACCUGAUACAAAAAAUUAUAAAGAUGGAGACAGGACACAUUAGCUUACUAACAUGAUACUAUCACAUUGUUAACUGGGCAGUGGAAAUAGGGUACUAUUACCUAGAAUUGACAGUACAAUUUGCAGCACAUUGCUAACCUGACAUGAGCACUUGGGACUGACAGUCUGGUCUGGUAGUGCCAUCUGUCUCGCACCACCUUAAGUGGCAAGGUCCCUGAAACCUGACAUGAGGACUUGGGACUGACAGUCUGGUAAACAGCCAUCUGUCUCGCACUACCUUAAGUGGCAAGGUCCCUGAAACCUGACAUGAGGACUUGGGACUGACAGUCUGGUCUGGUAGUGCCAUCUGUCUCGCACUGCCUUAAGUGGCAAGGUCCCUGAAACCUGACAUGAGGACUUGGGACUGAUAGUCUGGUCUGGUAGUGCCAUCUGUCUCGCACUACCUUAAGUGGCAAGGUCCCUGAAACCUGACAUGAGGACUUGGGACUGACAGUCUGGUCUGGUAGUGCCAUCUGUCUCGCACUACCUUAAGUGGCAAGGUCCCUGAAACCUGACAUGAGGACUUGGGACUGACAGUCUGGUCUGGUAGUGCCAUCUGUCUCGCACUGCCUUAAGUGGCAAGGUCCCUGAAACCUGACAUGAGGACUUGGGACUGACAGUCUGGUCUGGUAGUGCCAUCUGUCUCGCACUACCUUAAGUGGCAAGGUCCCUGAAACCUGACAUGAGGACUUGGGACUGACAGUCUGGUCUGGUAGUGCCAUCUGUCUCGCACUACCUUAAGUGGCAAGGUCCCUGAAACCUGACAUGAGGACUUGGGACUGACAGUCUGGUCUGGUAGUGCCAUCUGUCUCGCACUACCUUAAGUGGCAAGGUCCCUGAAACCUGACAUGAGGACUUGGGACUGACAGUCUGGUCUGGUAGUGCCAUCUGUCUCGCACUACCUUAAAUGGCAAGGUCCCUGAAACCCUGAUUUUUAACAAGAAUCUUGCUCGUAUUAGUUUUUGUAUUAAAAAAAUUGGUUAUAUGUCAUUUUUAACUAAAAAUAAAUGAUAUUGAAAUUACUAAUUUUGGUUUUACACACCAGUAAACAAAAUACAAUACUUAAGAUUUUCUCACAACGUAGCCAUGGUGGGAAGGGUUGAUUUAAUAUGAUGUUGAGGUUAUCUCCAGUUCACCUUCAUCUUAAUUCAGUGUCUCUGUCUUAUAGAAUGAUAUACCUGAUAUGAGAAUGCUAAUUCGCUUGGAUUACACUAUAUUUUGUAAUCUAUGUGUCUGAUGUCAAAACAAUGUAAAUCGAACUGUCGUAGACUGUUUUUCUUUAACAGCGUCAGAUUCCAGACGCUGAACUAAUAGGAAGGUGAACUGGAGAUAAGCUCAACAUUCGUACUUAAGAUUUUUAUGCGUUAAAACUGAAACGGCCAGACAAUAUUUCUACUGCUCAGAAUGAUACUGACCAUUGUGCACACUGAUAACUAAAUCAACCAGUACAAAGAUGACCAUUACAGUUGAUCUCAAAUCACCUUGUCUUUCAUAUAGUAAGUGUAUACUGCCUGGAGUGGCUUUUGUUGUGUCUAAAAAGUCAGCUACAAUUUGUCAAAGUCUAUGGCCGAAAUUAAUCAUUCCACACAUAAUUAUAGAGUAUCACAAUUAAUGUAACAUUAUGUUCACUUUGUGUAAUAAGAAGUUUUCAUCAACAGCUUGUUUCAGUUAGUGCCUUCUCUUUUAUGAUAAGACUCAAUUCAAUUUUAUACUAUACACGCAAGUUUUAAUUUUCAUUAUUUCCAUAUUGUCUUCCAUCAUGUGUUGUUAAAAGGUCUUCAGAAUAAACUUGUUUUCUAUGUGUAGAGCUUGGCAUGACCUAGGUAAUAGAAUGAACACAAUAUUUUUAUACCAACGAAUUGUGCCUGUUUACAUUCUUUCUUUGUUACAGUUAGAUAAAUUUAGAAACAUAUUUAUGCAUUUAUUUCAAUAAAUUAAAUAAAGCCAUAUCUACUGUAAUCAAUAUUCAUACCAAAUUCGGUUUAAUGUGUUUUGUUACAGCAGUAGUAGAUAAUUUGUUAUUAUUGAUGUAUGUUUUGUGUGUUAAAAGCUUUUGAAUGUAGUAAAAAUACAAUCUAUAAUGUUAAUUUUAGUUCUUUAACAAUACAAUUUUAUUAAUAUAAA